Molecule: ribosomal RNA, 306 nt
Filed under: uncultured fungus
Lineage: Eukaryota; Fungi
Description: eukaryotic LSU rRNA
Rfam family: 5.8S ribosomal RNA (bases 1-71)
Source: RNAcentral
GUGAGUCAUCGAGUCUUUGAACGCACAUUGCGCCCCUUGGUAUUCCGAGGGGCAUGCCUGUUCGAGCGUCAUUACACCACUCAAGCACCGCUUGGUAUUGGGCACUCGUCCGCCGAAAGGCGGGCGUGCCUCGAAGACCUCGGCGGGGUUUCUCCAACUUCGGACGUAGUAGAGUUAAAUCAAAACGUCUUAAUAAGCUUGGUGAGAUCUCAUUGCCGUUAAACCUUUUUAUUUUACAGGUUUGAACCUUCGGUAUCAGGUAGGGAUACCCGCUGUAACUUAAGCAUAUCGAAUAACGCGGAGGUA